This 242-nucleotide ribosomal RNA is filed under the name uncultured bacterium. RNAcentral's name for it is "partial 16S ribosomal RNA". It matches the Rfam family "Bacterial small subunit ribosomal RNA", at positions 29 to 244 of the family's 1533-position model. The record is from RNAcentral.
AACGAACGCUGGCGGCGUGCCUAACACAUGCAAGUCGAGCGAGAAAGUCCGCAAGGAUGAGUAAAGCGGCGCACGGGUGCGUAACACGUGGGUAAUCUUCCUUAGAGCCCGGAAUAACUCCCCGAAAGGGGUAGGCUAAUACCGGACGUAAGAACCACCGGGAGUCUUCGGUAGUCCUGAGGGAAAAGGACGGCCUCUGUAUACAAGCUGUCACUCUGAGAUGAGCCCGCCGGCCCACUCAG